UUUAACAAAUAAUUUACUUCUCCAGCAAACAUACGAACAACUCUAUUCAAAUAGAGGCAACUAUGCUAAAACUAUUAAUACGAGCAACAACUUUACCUGCGCACUCAUCACUCAAGUAGAAUAGAUAAUUAACAGACCAAAAAAGGACAAGUACAACCUAAUUAACAAACCCUAAAAAUACUGUGAGUCCAACUCAGGUGCGCAAAAGGUAUAAUUAAAAGUUAUAAAAGGAACUCGGCAAACACAAAUUCCAACUGUUUACCAAAAACAUAGCCUUUAGCUAAACAAAUAUUGAAGGUAAUGCCUGCCCAGUGAAAUCACUUUCAACGGCCGCGGUACCCUAACCGUGCAAAGGUAGCGUAAUCA
This 366-nucleotide ribosomal RNA is filed under the name Antillotyphlops hypomethes (Puerto Rican coastal blindsnake). RNAcentral's name for it is "partial 16S ribosomal RNA". The record is from RNAcentral. Lineage: Eukaryota; Metazoa; Chordata; Lepidosauria; Squamata; Typhlopidae.